RNA transcript from Myotis lucifugus (little brown bat), 1552 nucleotides. It is a transcript of the gene named alkB homolog 3, alpha-ketoglutaratedependent dioxygenase, with no coding region annotated. The record is from RefSeq and is a predicted model, not a curated record. NCBI's taxonomy places the organism in Eukaryota, Metazoa, Chordata, Mammalia, Chiroptera, Vespertilionidae. The transcript is spliced from 9 exons.
CCGGGCCGGUGGGGCGGGGACCGCCUCUGAGGCCCUUUCCCCGGCGGCCUCCGGGACGUCGCCGAGCCUCCUGGAAGAGAAGGGUCUAUCAGACAAAGUUGCUAACCCUUGUUGAGGGCCGGGCGUUCACCCGCGAAGACGUUUAAUCUGCAUCUCAGUCGUGAGGGAGAGAUUGGCGUCCUGUUCACAGAGGAGGAAACAGGCCCCCAAAGGUAAUCAUUGUGCGGUUCAUCAGCAAUGAAAUCUUCUGAAAGCUAAGAGCAGAAGCCUUUUUGGUCAACAUGGAGGACAAAAGACGGCGAGCCCGCGUGCAGGGAGCCUGGGCCGGCUCAGCUAAGAGCCAGGCCGUUGCUCAGCCAGUAGGAGGUGAUGAGAGCAGACUUUUCUCUCUCUUGCUUCAGCUACCACUGCUAAGAGCCAUCUCCGCCAGAGCCCUGGUCAGACCUGGACGAACAAGGAGCAUCAUUUGUCAGACAAACAAUUUGUAUUUAAAGAACCCCAGCAGCAAAGAGGGUGUAUAUGAAAUUAGCCAGUCACCCACAGGCAUAUCUCGGUUGUGUUUGUAUCCUGGCUUUGUUGACUUAAGAGAAGCCGACUGGGUAUUGGAGCAGCUUUGUCGGGAAGUUCCCUGGAAACAGAGGACCGGCAUCAGAGAGGAUGUAACUUACCAGCAACCAAGACUCACAGCAUGGUAUGGAGAACUUCCUUACACUUACUCCAGAAUCACUAUGGAACCAAAUCCUCACUGGCACCCUGUGCUGCGCACACUUAAGAACCAAAUUGAGGAGAACACGGGCCACACCUUCAACUCCUUGCUCUGCAACCUUUACCGCAACGAGAAGGACAGUGUGGACUGGCACAGCGAUGAUGAACCCUCACUAGGGAGGUGCCCGGUCAUUGCUUCUCUCAGUUUUGGUGCCACGCGCACUUUUGAGAUGAGAAAGAAGCCCCCGCCAAAGCACCCCUGCAAUAAUGAGCAUAAACACGGUAUUGCAGCGAAAUCAAUCCUGCACUAACCCAGAGGUAGUCCCGUGCACCAGUGAAGCAGAGGAAUGGGUGGAUCAGCUCAGAAAAGAGAUGAAGAAAUCAGGAAGUGCGGGUCAGUCCCAGUCUCAACUCUGCGAGCAGGGAAGUUGUGCAAUGCACCCCAUCAGCUGUGCGGGAGGAGCAACACCACCUGUCGGCUGCUUCGCAGGCUGUGCCGUGGAGCUUCAUUGCGAUACCGGCCAUGCCUGCGCUUUCUGGAAGACAGGGCAAUGUAAAAUGCCAGGCGUCUGUGUCCCAAGUGUUCAGGAACCGUGGCCCACUUUCCAAGGCUUAAACAGCAAGUCUCAGUUUGCUAUGCUUUCUGGUCGAGCCAGAGCUCACUUCUCUGAGAAAAUGUCACUGUUGACUGUUCUGGGAAGAAACAGGACUAUGUCGCCAGAACACCGAAGGACUAGUUUUAACAUAGGAAGAGAAUGGAGACUACACAUAUGUGGAAAGAGUGAAGAUACCCUUGGAUCACGGGACCUUGCUAAUCAUGGAAGGAGCUACGCAAGCUGACUGGCAG